AGAGGAUGCUUUUGGUUAGGUACCUUUCGAGUUCCUUGGAACAGGACGCCUUAGAGGGUGAGAGCCCCGUACGAUUGGAUACCGAGCCUCUGUAAAGCUCCUUCGACGAGUCGAGUAGUUUGGGAAUGCUGCUCUAAAUGGGAGGUAAAUUUCUUCUAAAGCUAAAUACCGGCCAGAGACCGAUAGCGCACAAGUAGAGUGAUCGAAAGAUGAAAAGCACUUUGAAAAGAGGGUUAAAUAGUACGUGAAAUUGUUGAAAGGGAAGGGCUUAUGACCAGACCUUUGCCUUGCGGAUCAUCCGGUGUUCUCACCGGUGCACUCCGCUUGGUUGAGGCCAGCAUCAGUUUUGGCGGCCGGAUAAAGACUUCAGGAAUGUGACUCCUCCGGGAGUGUUAUAGCCUGCUGUGUAAUACGGCCGCUGGGACUGAGGACCGCGCUUCGGCUAGGAUGCUGGCAUAAUGGUCAUCAGCCACCCGUCUUGAAACACGGACCAAGGAGUCGAACAUUUAUGCGAGUUUUUGGGUGUUAAACCCUCAAGCGUAAUGAAAGUGAACGGAGGUGAGAGCCCUUACGGGUGCAUCAUCGACCGAUCCUGAUGUCUUCGGAUGGAUUUGAGUAAGAGCAUAACUGUUCGGACCCGAAAGAUGGUGAACUAUGCGUGGAUAGGGUGAAGCCAGAGGAAACUCUGGUGGAGGCUCGCAGCGGUUCUGACGUGCAAAUCGAUCGUCA
This 729-nucleotide ribosomal RNA is filed under the name Microdochium bolleyi. RNAcentral's name for it is "LSU rRNA". It matches the Rfam family "Eukaryotic large subunit ribosomal RNA", at positions 151 to 907 of the family's 3401-position model. The record is from RNAcentral. Lineage: Eukaryota; Fungi; Ascomycota; Sordariomycetes; Xylariales; Microdochiaceae.